RNAcentral lists this ribosomal RNA (245 nucleotides) under uncultured bacterium. Its description in RNAcentral is "partial 16S ribosomal RNA". It matches the Rfam family "Bacterial small subunit ribosomal RNA", at positions 524 to 768 of the family's 1533-position model. The record is from RNAcentral.
UACGUAGGGGGCAAGCGUUGUUCGGAAUCACUGGGCGUAAAGGGAGAGUAGGCGGGAAAAUAAGUUAGAAGUUUAAUGUCCGGGCUUAACCCGGAAACUGCUUUUAAUACUGUUUUUCUUGAGUAUUGGAGAGGGAGAUGGAAUUCCAGGUGUAGCGGUGGAAUGCGUAGAUAUCUGGAAGAACACCAGCUGCGAAGGCGGUCUCCUGGCCAAAUACUGACGCUGAGGCUCGAAAGCUAGGGGAG